ACUCAAAUGAAUUGACGGGGGCCCGCACAAGCAGCGGAGCAUGUGGUUUAAUUCGACGCAACGCGAAGAACCUUACCUGGGCUUGACAUGUAGGUCAUAUCCGUGGAAACACGGAGUCAGUUCGGCUGGACCUUCACAGGUGGUGCAUGGCUGUCGUCAGCUCGUGUCGUGAGAUGUUGGGUUAAGUCCCGCAACGAGCGCAACCCCCGUCGCAUGUUGCCAGCAUUUAGUUGGGGACUCAUGCGAGACUGCCGGUGACAAACCGGAGGAAGGUGGGGAUGACGUCAAGUCAUCAUGCCCCUUAUGUCCAGGGCUACACACGUGCUACAUUGGCACGUACAGAGGGCUGCGAUACCGUGAGGUGGAGCGAAUCCCUCAAAGCGUGUCUCGGUUCGGAUUGCAGGCUGAAACCCGCCUGCAUGAAGGCGGAGUUGCUAGUAAUCGCGGAUCAGCAUUGCCGCGGUGAAUACGUUCCCGGGCCUUGUACACACCGCCCGU
This 498-nucleotide ribosomal RNA is filed under the name uncultured bacterium. RNAcentral's name for it is "partial 16S ribosomal RNA". It matches the Rfam family "Bacterial small subunit ribosomal RNA", at positions 899 to 1397 of the family's 1533-position model. The record is from RNAcentral.